Non-coding RNA from Phoenix dactylifera (date palm), 292 nucleotides. The record is from RefSeq and is a predicted model, not a curated record. Lineage: Eukaryota; Viridiplantae; Streptophyta; Magnoliopsida; Arecales; Arecaceae.
UCCCAGUCCCACGGUCCCACCGGGCCACCUCCCGAGGUUCGGCUGUUCCCAAAUCCCAGUUCCCACUGUGGCACUGUGCCACUGUCUACAGUCCACUGAUCCCGAUUCCCCAAUCCCACUGAGAUUGGUUGUGACUUCACUACUUCAGCGGUUCGGCACUAUUCGGCCUCUUCUCGCUGUCAAGUUCGGAACUAUUCCACCUCUUCUCGACACAAUUAAGUUCGACACUACUUGUCGGGACCCGAGUUUGUUUUUCUUGACACAAUUAAGUUUUAUCAUUUUUAACUUUUUA